Molecule: ribosomal RNA, 465 nt
Filed under: uncultured bacterium
Lineage: Bacteria
Description: partial 16S ribosomal RNA
Rfam family: Bacterial small subunit ribosomal RNA
Source: RNAcentral
GAUGAACGCUGGCGGCGUGCUUAACACAUGCAAGUCGAACGGAAAGGCUCCUGCUUGCAGGGGUACUCGAGUGGCGAACGGGUGAGUAACACGUGGGUGAUCUGCCCUGCACUUCGGGAUAAGCCUGGGAAACUGGGUCUAAUACCGGAUAGGACGAUGGUCUGGAUGCCAUUGUGGAAAGUUUUUCGGUGGGGGAUGAGCUCUCGGCCUAUCAGCUUGUUGGUGGGGGAAUGGCCUACCAAGGCGUCGACGGGUAGCCGGCCUGAGAGGGUGAACGGCCACAUUGGGACUGAGAUACGGCCCAGACUCCUACGGGAGGCAGCAGUGGGGAAUAUUGCACAAUGGGCGCAAGCCUGAUGCAGCGACGCCGCGUGGGGGAUGACGGCCUUCGGGUUGUAAACUCCUUUCGUCAGGGACGAAGCGAAAGUGACGGUACCGGGAUAAGAAGCACCGGCUAACUACGUG